This 408-nucleotide ribosomal RNA is filed under the name uncultured bacterium. RNAcentral's name for it is "partial 16S ribosomal RNA". It matches the Rfam family "Bacterial small subunit ribosomal RNA", at positions 28 to 526 of the family's 1533-position model. The record is from RNAcentral.
GACGAACGCUGGCGGCGUGCUUAACACAUGCAAGUCGAACGAAGUGGCGAACGGGUGAGUAACGCGUAAUCAACCUGCCCUUCAGCGGGGGACAACAGUUGGAAACGACUGCUAAUACCGCAUACUGAAGAUGGGGAUUGCGUCUGAUUAGCUAGUUGGGGGGGUAACGGCCCACCAAGGCGAUGAUCAGUCGCCGGGCCUGAAGGAGGAAUGGCCAAAUUGGGACUGAGACACGGCCCAGACUCCUACGGGAGGCAGCAGUGGGGAAUCUUCCGCAAUGGACGAAAGUCUGACGGAGCAACGCCGCGUGAGUGAUGACGGCCUUCGGGUUGUAAAGCUCUGUUAAUCGGGACGCGGUACCGGAAUAGAAAGCCACGGCUAACUACGUGCCAGCAGCCGCGGUAAUAC